AUUGAACGCUGGCGGCAGGCCUAACACAUGCAAGUCGGACGGUAGCACAGAGAGCUUGCUCUCGGGUGACGAGUGGCGGACGGGUGAGUAAUGUCUGGGAAACUGCCCGAUGGAGGGGGAUAACUACUGGAAACGGUAGCUAAUACCGCAUAACGUCUUCGGACCAAAGUGGGGGACCUUCGGGCCUCACACCAUCGGAUGUGCCCAGAUGGGAUUAGCUAGUAGGUGGGGUAAUGGCUCACCUAGGCGACGAUCCCUAGCUGGUCUGAGAGGAUAACCAGCCAGACGGGAGCUGAGACACGGUGCAGGAUCCUACGGGAGGCAGCAGUGGGGAAUAUUGCACAAUGGGCGCAAGCCUGAUGCAGCCAUGCCGCGUGUAUGAAGAAGGCCUUCGGGUUGUAAAGUACUUUCAGCGGGGAGGAAGGCGAUGAGGUUAAUAACCGCAUCGAUUGACGUUACCCGCAGAAGAAGCACCGGCUAACUCCGUGCCAGCCGCCGCGGUAA
RNAcentral lists this ribosomal RNA (504 nucleotides) under uncultured bacterium. RNAcentral describes it as "partial 16S ribosomal RNA". It matches the Rfam family "Bacterial small subunit ribosomal RNA", at positions 29 to 523 of the family's 1533-position model. The record is from RNAcentral.